AUUCCAGCUCCAAUAGCGUAUAUUAAAGUUGUUGCAGUUAAAAAGCUCGUAGUUGGAUUUCUGGGAGGGUGCCAAUGUCCGUCAACGUGCGUGUGCAGCGGCGCCCUUCCAUCCUUCUGUUAACGCCUCUGGGCAUUUAUUUGCUGGUGGCGGGCUCAGAUAUUUUACCUUGAGAAAAUUAGAGUGUUUCAGGCAGGCUAGGCCGGAAUACAUUAGCAUGGAAUAAUAGAAUAGGACUAUGGUCUCUUUGUUGGUUUGAGGGACUAUGGUAAUGAUUAAUAGGGAUAGUUGGGGGCAUUAGUAUUUAAUUGUCAGAGGUGGAAUUCUCAGAUUUGUUAAAGACUAACUUAUGCGAAAGCAUUUGCCAAGGAUGUUUUCAUUA
This 382-nucleotide ribosomal RNA is filed under the name Spirotrichea sp. RNAcentral's name for it is "partial small subunit ribosomal RNA". It matches the Rfam family "Eukaryotic small subunit ribosomal RNA", at positions 582 to 975 of the family's 1831-position model. Lineage: Eukaryota; Ciliophora; Spirotrichea. The record is from RNAcentral.